RNAcentral lists this unclassified non-coding RNA (1355 nucleotides) under Rhizobium sp. R21. RNAcentral's name for it is "partial contains 16S ribosomal RNA, 16S-23S ribosomal RNA intergenic spacer, and 23S ribosomal RNA". The stretch from base 241 to 314 matches the Rfam family "tRNA". Lineage: Bacteria; Pseudomonadati; Pseudomonadota; Alphaproteobacteria; Hyphomicrobiales; Rhizobiaceae. The record is from RNAcentral.
UGGUAGACGCCGGAUUUAUUCCGGAUGAACCUUCCCGUGCUUUUUAGAACAAGAUUGGCCAGUCAGGCCGGUCGAAACACAUACGCUGUGAGAUGUGCCUUCGGGUACACCGCAGUAUGGCGGAUUACCGCCGUCCACGUUUCUCUUUCUCACAAAGACAAGGACCACGCUUUGGCGUGUCUGUCCUGGCCGGGCUUUUGGCUUGGCCGGAUGGAUGCGACAGUGUUGUUCAAUCCUUAUGGGCCCGUAGCUCAGUCGGUUAGAGCACACGCUUGAUAAGCGUGGGGUCGGUAGUUCGAGUCUACCCGGGCCCACCAUUGUUCAGGGAUUAGCCAGUAGGAAUUAGGCAGUAGUUGCGAUGCUUUGGUGCGUCCCGAUUGGCUGCUGACUCUGGUUUGCUCCCUCCCUUAAUUGGGGCUGUAGCUCAGCUGGGAGAGCACCUGCUUUGCAAGCAGGGGGUCAGCGGUUCGAUCCCGCUCAGCUCCACCAUUAUCUGGUGUUGAACUGAGGGACGAAGCCUUUGGCUUCGCAAGGCCGGAGGGCCGUCGCCAAUCGUUUGGCGCGCCCGUGCAGGCUCAGCCCGAAGGGCGGUCCGAGCCGUGAACGAACCUUGUCUUUUGAGAAAAAUAAAGUUUGCAUCGGCCUUCUGGGUUUGAUGCCUGUUCUGAUUACAUUGUGAAGAGAAGAUAUGUCUGGAAGCUUCCAGGUGUUGAGGAUGGUGACCGUAAGGUUGCUGUUUUUGACGUCCGAGCCCAGUCCUGUUCAAGCUGCGUGAGGGUCUAGCCGAUCCUGAAGCAGACCAGGGGCUGGAGGUAGGAAGGGCAGCUUGUUACUCAAGACAUGUGUGUUGUUGUGCAAGGAUUGGUAGACCGGUAGGUCGCCGCCAAUCGUUUGGCGCCCCCGCGGAGCGAGGACCGAAAGGUCCGGACAAGCGUGAGCGAAGCAAUGACGGCAUGUUGAUGGGCGUUGCCUGACCGCGCGCUCCCGGACAGAUCUCGAGAAGCUGGUCUUAAGACCUGACCCUGAAGUGCACCGGCGUGCCUUCGUAUAGGGAUCAGGUCGAACACGUCGAUGGCAUCUGAUAGACGCGGUUGUAAAAGGUAACCGCGGUUUGUUCUUCCCUUUAUCGUUGGGGACGGACAGUCCAUAUAUCGGCAAACUCAGGUUUGCCCGUAUGGCCAGGUUUUGCACCCCUUCGAGCGCAAGCGAGGAGGAUAGGUUUGCAAAACCAAACUAAAGAUGAGCAUUGGCAAUGAGAACGAUCAAGUGAAAGAAGGGCAUUUGGUGGAUGCCUUGGCAUGCACAGGCGAUGAAGGACGUGAUACGCUGCGAUAAGCCGUGGGGAGCUGCGAAUA